AGAGGGAGCAAGCGUUGUUCGGAAUUACUGGGCGUAAAGGGCGCGUAGGCGGCUUAACAGGUCCCGUGCGAAGUCCUUCGGCUCAACUGAGGAACGGCACGGGAAACUGUUUGGCUUGAGUUCGGGAGAGGGAAGCGGAAUUCCGGGUGUAGCGGUGAAAUGCGUAGAUAUCCGGAGGAACACCGGUGGCGAAGGUGGCUUCCUGGACCGACACUGACGCUGAGGCGCGAAAGCUAGGGGAGCAAACGGGAUUAGAUACCCCGGUAGUCCUAGCUGUAAACGAUGAGUGCUGGGUGUAGGGGGUAUCUACCCCCCCUGUGCCGAAGCUAACGCAUUAAGCACUCCGCCUGGGGAGUACGGUCGCAAGGCUG
This 371-nucleotide ribosomal RNA is filed under the name uncultured bacterium. RNAcentral describes it as "bacterial SSU rRNA". It matches the Rfam family "Bacterial small subunit ribosomal RNA", at positions 527 to 896 of the family's 1533-position model. The record is from RNAcentral.